CCUCCUGUCCUUUCCCUUCAUCCCUUCAUCCUGCCCCCAAGGAAAGCAAAGUAGGAUCUUCUUGCUUGUUGCCCUGAUCAAGAAAUAAUGACUCGCUAAUGGACGCGGGAGGAACAGCAGGCCUGAAAAUACGCCCUCAAUUAUUGUCACGUUGUUGUACGCUGAGGCGCGAGCGCUGGGUGAUUUUUGCUGACUUGUGCAUCUUCCGCAGAACUCCUUUCUCCGAUUUUCAGGGUGGCGGAAGAUAAUGGCGCUUCCCGUGGUAACAGACUGACUCCGGCCGGGCGUGCGCGCCUGGGGCAGCACCCAGCAGCCACAGUGUUUGCACAGCUCUGGGAAGAACACUUGGUUUAGUUGGUACUGUGGCGGGGGAGAGCUAAAACGGGUUUGCGAGUCAGGGCGUAUGUAGCUGGCUGAUUUCUUUGUGACAGAGCAGGGUUUUCAAGGGAAAACUCAAGAAUACAGAACCCAAAGCAUUUUUUUUCCCCCCCCCCAAACAGGGUGACAGCAUUAAGGUAGCUCAAACUACUUGACAGUGUCCUUUUAAGUCAAUUAUCCGUCUUCAAAUGGACUCUUCCUUAUGUUUGUAUUUAUAAAUACCAAUAAACACCAUUUUCCAAGCCGUGUCUUACUAGAGGAAUACCUUUGUAGAGCAAAAAAAAAAA
This is a long non-coding RNA of Pygoscelis adeliae (Adelie penguin), 665 nucleotides long. RefSeq lists it as uncharacterized. The record is from RefSeq and is a predicted model, not a curated record. The transcript is spliced from 2 exons. NCBI's taxonomy places the organism in Eukaryota, Metazoa, Chordata, Aves, Sphenisciformes, Spheniscidae.